Molecule: ribosomal RNA, 380 nt
Filed under: uncultured bacterium
Lineage: Bacteria
Description: bacterial SSU rRNA
Rfam family: Bacterial small subunit ribosomal RNA
Source: RNAcentral
GACGAACGCUGGCGGCGUGCUUAACACAUGCAAGUCGAGCGGUAAGGCCCUUUCGGGGGUACGACGAGCGGCGAACGGGUGAGUAACACGUGGGUGACCUGCCCUCAGCUCUGGGAUAAGCCUGGGAAACCGGGUCUAAUACCGGAUGUGACUCCAUGACGCAUGUUGUGGGGUGGAAAGCCUUGUGCGGCUGAGGAUGGGCCCGCGGCCUAUCAGCUUGUUGGUGGGGUGAUGGCCUACCAAGGCGACGACGGGUAGCCGGCCUGAGAGGGCGACCGGCCACACUGGGACUGAGACACGGCCCAGACUCCUACGGGAGGCAGCAGUGGGGAAUCUUGCGCAAUGGGCGAAAGCCUGACGCAGCGAUGCCGCGUGAGGGA